CGGGACGGGUGAGUAAUGCCUAGGAAUCUGCCUGGUAGUGGGGGAUAACGUUCCGAAAGGAACGCUAAUACCGCAUACGUCCUACGGGAGAAAGCAGGGGACCUUCGGGCCUUGCGCUAUCAGAUGAGCCUAGGUCGGAUUAGCUAGUUGGUGAGGUAAUGGCUCACCAAGGCGACGAUCCGUAACUGGUCUGAGAGGAUGAUCAGUCACACUGGAACUGAGACACGGUCCAG
RNAcentral lists this ribosomal RNA (233 nucleotides) under uncultured bacterium. RNAcentral describes it as "partial 16S ribosomal RNA". It matches the Rfam family "Bacterial small subunit ribosomal RNA", at positions 100 to 334 of the family's 1533-position model. The record is from RNAcentral.